RNAcentral lists this ribosomal RNA (468 nucleotides) under uncultured bacterium. RNAcentral's name for it is "partial 16S ribosomal RNA". It matches the Rfam family "Bacterial small subunit ribosomal RNA", at positions 28 to 507 of the family's 1533-position model. The record is from RNAcentral.
GACGAACGCUGGCGGCGUGCUUAACACAUGCCAGUCGAACGGAAAGGCCCUGCUUUUGUGGGGUGCUCGAGUGGCGAAGGGGUGAGUAACACGUGAGUAACCUGCCCUUGACUUUGGGAUAACUUCAGGAAACUGGGGCUAAUACCGGAUAGGAGCUCCUGCUGCAUGGUGGGGGGUGGAAAGUUUCGGCGGUUGGGGAUGGACGCGCGGCUUAUCAGCUUGUUGGUGGGGUAGUGGCUUACCAAGGCUUUGACGGGUAGCCGGCCUGUGAGGGUGACCGGCCACAUUGGGACUGAGAUACGGCCCAGAGUCCUACGGGAGGCAGCAGUGGGGAAUAUUGCACAAUGGGCGGGAGCCUGAUGCAGCAACGCCGCGUGCGGGAUGACGGCCUUCGGGUUGUAAACCGCUUUCGCCUGUGACGAAGCGGGAGUGACGGUAAUGGGUAAAGAAGCACCGGCUAACUACGUG